GUGGGCGAGCGCCCGUGAAUCCCAGCACCGGGGAAGAGGAACCUGGAGAGCCAUCAGUUCCACGGCAGCCUGGGCUGAAUAGUGAGAUCCUGUCUUUAGAUUCACCAACGAGCCAAGUCCGGUCGUCAAGAUAGAGAAAAAUGGGCGGCAGAUGUGCGUGCUUUGCAGAGCGAAGGACUUGCUGAUAGCGGAAGGAGACGAAGAAGAACCUGAAGUGCUUGUUGGUUUCCGACACCCAGAUGUUCAGUGAUACUAUUUACAGAGUGAGGUGUGGAGAGAGCCUUAGAUUGGGUGCAUACACAGGAAACGAUAAUAUAAAUUGCUACAACAACAGA
Molecule: non-coding RNA, 335 nt
Organism: Cricetulus griseus (Chinese hamster)
Lineage: Eukaryota; Metazoa; Chordata; Mammalia; Rodentia; Cricetidae
Source: RefSeq, a predicted model, not a curated record